GAUGAACGCUGGCGGCGUGCCUAAUACAUGCAAGUCGAGCGAACAGACGAGGAGUUUGCUCCUCUGACGUUAGCGGCGGACGGGUGAGUAACACGUGGAUAACCUACCUAUCAGACUGGGAUAACUUCGGGAAACCGGAGCUAAUACCGGAUAAUAUAUUGAACCGCAUGGUUCAAUAGUGAAAGACGGUUUUGCUGUCACCUAUAGAUGGAUCCGCGCCGCAUUAGCUAGUUGGUAAGGUAACGGCUUACCAAGGCGACGAUGCGUAGCCGACCUGAGCGCGUGUUCGGCCACACUGGAACUGAGACACGGUCCAGACUCCUACGGGAGGCAGCAGUAGGGAAUCUUCCGCAAUGGGCGAAAGCCUGACGGAGCAGCGCCGCGUGAGUGAUGAAGGUCUUCGGAUCGUAAAACUCUGUUAUUAGGGAAGAACAAAUGUGUAAGUAACUAUGCGCGUCUUGACGGUACCUAAUCAGAAAGCCCCGGCUAACUACGUG
Molecule: ribosomal RNA, 497 nt
Filed under: uncultured bacterium
Lineage: Bacteria
Description: partial 16S ribosomal RNA
Rfam family: Bacterial small subunit ribosomal RNA
Source: RNAcentral